Molecule: ribosomal RNA, 492 nt
Filed under: uncultured bacterium
Lineage: Bacteria
Description: partial 16S ribosomal RNA
Source: RNAcentral
CACAGAGUUUGCCGGUGCUUCCUCCUCCGGUACCAUCACGCUACCUGAACUUUCCCCAGAUAGCCGUUUUUCCCGGAUGACAGAGCUUUACAACCCGAAGGCCUUCCUCACUCACGCGGCGUGGCUGCGUCAGACUUUCGUCCAUUGCGCAAUAUUCCCUACUGCUGCCUCCCGUAGGAGUCUGGACCGUGUUUCAGUUCCAGUGUGCCUGAUCAUCCUCUCAGACCAGGUACCCAUCAUCGUCUUGGUAAGCUGUUACCUCACCAACUAACUAAUGGGACGCAGACUCAUCCAUCGGCGAUAGCUUGCGCCAUCUUUCCUCGCAAGAGCUUCACGCUCCCGAGAGCUUACUCGGCAUUAGCCCGUCUUUCGACAGGUUAUUCCAAUCCAAAGGGUAGAUUAUCCACGUGUUACUCACCCGUGCGCCGCUUUACUCAUCCUUGCGGACUUUCGCGCUCGACUUGCAUGUAUGAGGCCCGCCGCCAGCGUUCG